This 4856-nucleotide long non-coding RNA is filed under the name Ornithorhynchus anatinus (platypus). Its description in RNAcentral is "lncRNA (ENSOANG00000048780.1)". Lineage: Eukaryota; Metazoa; Chordata; Mammalia; Monotremata; Ornithorhynchidae. The record is from RNAcentral.
AGCAAUUUUCUGAUAUGUUUCUUUUUACCCUUCAAGAUAUAAGAUUUAGAAAUGGAGAUUCACCCCACCACGUAAUCAUCCACUGAUGUUGCCUUUUAGUAACAAAGUAAGCAAGCAAGCACUAACCUCGAGCUAGGUUUCUGCUGACCUUAAGGAUUUAUUUGGGCAGACAGACAGCAAUAAAUAAUAUAACCCAUAUUCAAUUUAUUUAAAGUUUCAUUCUCAGGGAUUCCUUUAGGACUUGUUGGAUUCAGCUGCAUUCCAUACUGUGCCAUAGGACCGUGCUUGGCCAACAAGGGAUUGUUGAACCUUCUAUAAGGGAUAUCCAGAACAUCGGCCUAAUUUUUAUACAUAAACUUUGUUCCACUCAAACAGCAGCUGGGAGUUAAACCUUGGGGGUUUCCAAACUAAUUCAGGGGAGAUUUUACAGUGGAAAGAAUGGCCGUCGGAGAGAGCAGAGGAAGGAGAAUUCUGAGCACUGUAUAGCACAGACCCAUAGCCAGGCUAUGGCUUGGUAAUUAUUUAUUGAUUUGGAUUGUGCAGGUCCAAGGGUCAGUGCAAGUGCAGAGAGAAAGGCAGAGGAGAAAAACAAAGACAGCAAUUAAAGAAGAGGCUCGAACCAACAGGAAAGGCAAUCCGAAAAGGAGCUGGGAAAACUGAUGGGAGAUUGCUAGCCGGGGGCCAAGUGUUAGGAAGAACUGAAAGGAGAGAGCACGAAGUUGGAAAGUUGGUGUGGGAAGAAGAGAACGUCCUGAAAACAAAGCCUAAGAGGACAGCAACACGGUCAGAAUUCAGAAAUGCAUGAAGAAAACAUUUGUUGGAAUGGAGACACAUAGCCACAGCGGCAGCCUCUCGUACCUGCAUCUGAAUCCCGCAAGGCUGAAAUCCCUGCUAACAGUAAGGAUGAUCUUCCCAGCCAAAGCGACGAGCCUUCUCUCUACGAAUAUUCCCCUCACCAAGAACCUUGAGGUUGGUGGAAGGUCAGCAGAGCAGAAAGGUGUGUUUCAGCUUUGUACUGAAGUUAGCAUGUUGAAGGAGUGGGGUGGACCUAUCAACUUUAUCAACAUCAACUUUAUGGUGCUUUCCUCCAUUAGAAUAGAGUUUGCUAUGCCAUCUGACGGUGUAUGUCAGCAAUAUCGCUGGACCACAGUGGUUAAAGUAUCCGUGAACCCGUGGCAUAAAGGACAGAGCAUGGGCCCCUAAAUCAAAAGGACCUGGGGUCUAAUCCCCACUUGUCUGCUGUGUGACCUUGGGUAAGUCACAUAACUUCUCUGUGCCACAGUUGCCUCAUCAGUAAAAUGUGAGCCUCAUGUGGGGCAUGGACUGCGUCCAACAUGAUUAGCUUGGCUCUACCCCAGUACUUAGUACAGAGCCUGACACAUAGUAAGCACUUAAAUACCAUAAAGAACCAAUGGAUUCAGGAUUGAUGAGGAACACCCCUCGCCACCCCUCAACCGGCAAUUUCAAAAGCUGAAUUUUAGUUCUGCAAAAGGAACUGCACGAAUUAUACAUUUUAUGUUCUGUCUUCCAUAGAAAAAGAGGCACAUAUCAAACCUACAGUCUUAAAGAUUCAUUUACUCCUACCCCACAUUUCCAAGAGACGCUAAGAUAAUGGUGCAUUUCCUGUCACUCUUGGCAGAAGUGAGGGAGACUCACGGAUCAGCACAUAGAUCACUAGCACGAUAAUCGAUUCCUUUGCCCCGGCAGAUCCUCGGUCCUUCAGUAUCAGGUCGGGGACCUGACCAUCAUUAGCCACACUGGGUUCCACCAUCACUCUGGCACUCCUUGGUGCGAUGAUCCCCACCCUCCCACACUGCUUACCUAGCAGAAUCUCAACCGACUUUCUUUGCUCUCCCAGAGCACCAUCACUUACUCAGCACAAAACCCAUCCACGGAAGCAGAAGGUGCUUAAGGAGAUAGACCGUGUGUGUUUUAUUUCUGUUUUUAAGACCAACUUAUCGUGUAGAUUCAGGCACCUCAAUUAACCCCCUCCCUUCCCCCCCCCGUGGUUCAGUUUAUUCAUCUUUGUAAUGGAAUGGGAAUGCGAGGUCCCAGAGAGUGGGUUUCAAGAGGCAGUGUUGGUGUGUUUAGAGAGCACGUUGUAAUCUGAGUAUUAAAGAGGCUAUUAGAGGCAAAAUAAUACUCAGCCUUUCAUUUGUCGGGGAAGAUGACUAGCCUAGCCAGCAGGGGCAAGGGCAAUCUACAUGACCACAGCAGGGUCUGCCCUGGCGGGAGAUCAAUCAGAGGAAGAACACAUUUCCAGGGUUCCCUAAAAACCCCUUCAGCUGGAAGGCUCCCCUUGGUUUCAUUCCCCUGGAAGAUGAUGGGAAGGAGGAAUUUCUCUCAGCCUUGUCCAACGGGACAGUCCAAUUGCUUAGCCCCCCUUUCAUGCAGAUCAGACUAUGGCCAAACCCCUAAAGUCAGUGACCUAGCCUAGCAGUGGCCAGUCCCUACCUGCGUUCAAUGCCCCUAGGACGAACCUAUCUGUGGGUCUGUCUGUCUUCCUCCCACGCACAGAGGCCACCGCUACAAUCUCGGCAAGCAGCAGGAAUUGCCAGCUGUCUCAGAGGACACCUUAUUGGUGGAGAGCUUCCCAGGCCACGAGAUAUCUAAUGGGUACCGUGGGAGACAGCCUAGCCAGAAAAAGCAUCUAGGAGCCUUACUAACCCACACUGGCAAGGACACCCCAAAGAGAGCUAAGGAUUCAGUCUUUAGCAACCAGGGUUAAGGGAAGCAGAAUCCCAGGAGUAUACAUGGAGGUGGCCACUCACUGAUAAUGAUAUUAAUGAUAUUUUGUGCCAAGCACGGUACAAAUCUCAGGGGUGGAUGCCCCAUCAUGGGCCGUUUUGAUUCUUAUUAUAGUUUGCCCAUUAGUUGAUUCUUAUUUCUUCUUUGUCCCUAGGGGAGACCCUCUGUAGAGGGAAGCACAUGGGCUCUGCUGCCCCUGCUGCUCAUGGGGAGGUAUCCUGUUUGGCCUUGAGAAUUCUUCCACCUGACCAUCAUUUAUGCCAUAUUAGGUGGUAGUGCUUCUGGCUUAUGCUAAUUAAGGUUGGCUGUGUGUGCAGUAAAUGGCUUCCUCAGAAUCUGCUGACUUGUAAGUCACUUCACUUCUCUGUGCCUGAGUUACCUCAUCUGUAAAAUGGGGAUUAACUGUGAGCCUCACGUGGGACAACCAGAUUACCCUGUAUCUACCCCAGGGGUUAGAACAGUGCUCUGCAUAUAGUAAGCACUUAACAAAUACCAACACUUAUUAUUAUCUCUUACAUCUUUCCAUUACAACCUAGUCCACAGUAUAACCUAUUGGAAGGGCCAUGAUGCUGAAAGUCACUAGAUUCAGGUUCCAGUCAGCUCUCCACUUGCUUGCUGUGCCUGAGGGCAAAUUGGACCUGCCCUGCACCUAUAAAAUGGGGAUAAUAAUAGUAAUAAUAAUAAUGGUAAUUGUUAAGCUCUUACUAUGCGCCUAUCACUGUUCUAAGCACUGGGGGAGAUACAAGGUAAUCAUGUUGUCCCCCGUGGGGCUCAGUCUUCAUUCCCCAUUUUACAGAUGAGGUAACUGAGGCACAGAGAAGUGAAGUAACUUGCCCAAAGUCAUACAGAUGACAAGUGGCAGAGCCGGGAUUAGAACCCACGACCGCUGACUCCGAAACCCGUGCUCUUUCCACUGAGCCAAGGAGAACACCAGCUCUCAGAGUGUGAGCCCUGUAGGGGCCUGGAACUACAAUCUAACCCUCAACGUCUCUUUCUUUCAGUCUGCAUAUUCAGGUCUGUCAUCAAAUCCUGCCCAUUCACAUCUCUGAAAAAUCCACCUUUGCUGAUCCAAGCACUUAUAUCCCACCUUGACUAGCUUUCUUGCUGGACCUCCCUGCCUCUCCCCUCUCCAGUCUAUACUUCACUCUGCCACCUGGAUCAUUAAAAGAAAAAGAAAAGAAAGUUGAGUCUAUCUCCCCUCUCCUCAAAACCACCAAUAAUUGUCCAUCCACUUUCACAACAAACAGAAACCCCUUACCACCAACUUUAAAGUACUCAGUCAGCUCUCUCCCUUCUUCCUUACCUCACUCAUUUCCUGCAACAACCCAACUUACACACUUCAUUUCUCUAGCCAACAGCCUACUUGCUGUUCCUUGGUCUUACCUCUCUCAUUGCAGAUUCUUUGCUCACAUCCUCCCUCUGGCCUAGAACCUUCUCCCCAUUCAUAACCAACAGACCACUCUUUCCCCAUCUUCAAAGCCCUAGUCACAUCACACCUACACCAAGAAGGCUUCCUUGACAAACCUCACCCUAUCGCCUCUCUCUUCUGGGAUAGCUAUGCACUUUCAUUCAUUCAAUAGUAUUUAUUGAGCGCUUACUAUGUGCAGAGCACUGUACUAAGUGCUUGGGAUGAACAAGUCGGCAACAGAUAGAGACAGUCCCUGCCGUUUGACGGGCUUACAGUCUAAUCGGGGGAGACGGACAGACAAGAACAAUGGCACUAAACAGCGUCAAGGGGAAGAACAUCUCGUAAAAACAAUGGCAACUAAAUAGAAUCGAGGCGAUGUACAAUUCAUUAACAAAAUAAAUAGGGUAACGAAAAUAUAUACAGUUGAGCGGACGGGUACAGUGCUGUGGGGAUGGGAAGGGAGAGGUGGAGGAGCAGAGGGAAAAGGGGAAAAUGAGGCUUUAGCUGCGGAGAGGUAAAGGGGGGAUGGCAGAGGGAGUAGAGGGGGAAGAGGAGCUCAGUCUGGGAAGGCCUCUUGGAGGAGGUGAUUUUUAAGUAAGGUUUUGAAGAGGGAAAGAGAAUCAGUUUGGCGGAAGUGAGGAGGGAGGGCGUUCCAGGACCGCGGGAGGACGUGACCCAGGGGUCGACGGCGGGAUAGGCG